CCUACGGGAGGCAGCAGUGAGGAAUAUUGGUCAAUGGGCGGGAGCCUGAACCAGCCAAGCCGCGUGAGGGAAGAAGGUACAGCGUAUUGUAAACCUCUUUUGUCAGGGAACAAAGGCGGGGACUAGUCCCCGGAUGAGGGUACCUGAAGGAAAAGCAUCGGCUAACUCCGUGCCAGCAGCCGCGGGAAUUCGGAGGAAUCGAGCGUUAUCCGGAUUUAUUGGGUUUAAAGGGUGGGCAGGCGGCCGGUUAAGUCAGCGGUAAAAGCCCGGGGCUCAACCCCGGCGAGCCGUUGAAACUGGCGUGCUGGAGUGGGCGAGAAGUACGCGGAAUGCGUGGUGUAGCGGUGAAAUGCUUAGAUAUCGCGCAGAACCCCGAUUGCGAAGGCAGCGUACCGGCUCUAAACUGACGCUGAGGCACGAAAGCGUGGGUAUCGAACAGGAUUAGAUACCCUUGUAGUC
Molecule: ribosomal RNA, 459 nt
Filed under: uncultured bacterium
Lineage: Bacteria
Description: partial 16S ribosomal RNA
Rfam family: Bacterial small subunit ribosomal RNA
Source: RNAcentral